Molecule: long non-coding RNA, 1278 nt
Organism: Hemiscyllium ocellatum (epaulette shark)
Lineage: Eukaryota; Metazoa; Chordata; Chondrichthyes; Orectolobiformes; Hemiscylliidae
Exons: 6
Source: RefSeq, a predicted model, not a curated record
UCAGGUCAUUGUCAGGUGACAAUCAACUGUCGCUCCGAAAGCUAGUGUGCUUCCUGUUGGACUAUAACCUGGUGUUGUGUGAUUUUUUUAACUUUGUACACCCCAGUCCAACACCGGCAUCUCCAAAUCUUUUCUCCCCAAAGCUGACUGUUCCUGACCAGAGGAGCGCAUGCGUGAGACCCUCCCCCCGCGCUGCCAUUGAGGAGCAUUUACUCAGUGAGUGCAAGAGGUUUGUUUGAAACAGACCGCAAUGGAGAGAUCAGCGCCCAGGGAAGCGAGGGAACUGCAGGCUCCUUCUAGCAGCACAUCGGGAUGGGAGCCUGGGACACAGAGGGGGCUCCGAGACCGGGAUUGAUUCGGGGUUGUGAUGCAAAUUCAAAGAAGAUCGAAGAUCUGACGAGUUCGAAUUGACAGUGGGGCAGUCAUGGCGUGUAAGAACACCAAGCAAGUACUCAAAGGACCAAGAUAAUGUAAUAUUCCCUCGGUACAGAGCCAAGUGUGACCAGCUGCUUUGAACAAACAGCAGUUGCAAAUAUCUACAACGAGCUCUGCAUUCCUCUUCCCCCUCCCUCUGAUGUAUCACAAAAAAGCAUGAAAUCUGGCUGCAAUUUUCACUAUCCAUCAAUGGAAUCUAACAACUACCCUUCAAAGCAGUGGAGAAAGGAGAAAAAAACCCCAAAAUUGGAUGCGGUAAUCUAUGUCAAGGUGGGAAGUGGAUACAAUUCCGAAAUGUCCUUGAACCAAUCGACUUGCUCAGCCAAAAGGAGAUGCUGCCGACCUGCUGAGCUUCUGAAGCAAGUUUUUUAGAGUGUUCAUGCCAAGACUUCAGCUGGACCCCAGUGAAGAACGAGCGCAGAUCAAAGAUGAAGAAUAAAUUACCUGGCUCUGUGAGGUUGAUGGAAUUCCUGGUCACAUUAAAUAUCGUUCCAACCCCUGUUGAUCGCGACGCACUGGUAUCUGCCUUGGUGCUGGGGCUGGAAGGAUUCAAUGGCCAGCUCUCUCCUGUCUGAGCUCAAGUUGUAUUUCCUGCUGGCAUUAUUUAAGGCUUACCUUUGAAAGUACCAUUGAAAGUACGGUCCUGUACCUUGACACAAUACACACUCUCGAACAAGUCGAUUUCCAAGCGGAACCUCCAUUUUAUUGACUCUGGGGGUGAGGAAAACCCUGGCAACAGGAACUGGAACAAAACAAGACAAAGAGGAAAUAAAAGAUUGGAUGUUGAAAUUGUCUUUCUUUUCGCAGAUGUUAUCUUCUUUGAUCGGAUAAUAACUGACAGAA